UUACCACUACCAACUGUUUCUGCUCCCCAACCAAAUAAUCUAAAUGUUACACCACCUCGAACAUCUCCUGCUAGAAGUGUUUCUGACAGACAUGUUUCCGAAGGCAUUCUUGAAGGAAUAUUUGACUUUGAACAAGACAUCACCUCACUAGAAUCAUCCCGCAUUAUUCAACACUCCGUUUUUGGUCCUGACUUUGACGAGUCCAGAAUCAACAUCACCAUUAAAUAUCCCAAACUCCC
Molecule: long non-coding RNA, 239 nt
Filed under: Lathyrus oleraceus (garden pea)
Lineage: Eukaryota; Viridiplantae; Streptophyta; Magnoliopsida; Fabales; Fabaceae
Description: Pisum sativum (pea) long non-coding RNA (PSAT_LNC025379)
Source: RNAcentral